UGCAGCUCCCAUUUAAGCAGCGGUCAAAAAGAGCCCACAGUGACAGUAUUACUGCAUGGCCACUGUUCUGUUGUCUAUAGUUGACUUAAGACAUUCUGGGAAACACAGCU
Small nucleolar RNA from Phyllostomus hastatus (greater spear-nosed bat), 110 nucleotides. The record is from RefSeq and is a predicted model, not a curated record. NCBI's taxonomy places the organism in Eukaryota, Metazoa, Chordata, Mammalia, Chiroptera, Phyllostomidae.